RNAcentral lists this ribosomal RNA (543 nucleotides) under uncultured bacterium. RNAcentral describes it as "bacterial SSU rRNA". It matches the Rfam family "Bacterial small subunit ribosomal RNA", at positions 358 to 916 of the family's 1533-position model. The record is from RNAcentral.
GGAAUCUUGCGCAAUGGGCGAAAGCCUGACGCAGCAACGCCGCGUGCGGGAAGAAGGCUUUCGGGCUGUAAACCGCUUUCAGCAGGAACGAAAAUGACGGUACCUGCAGAAGAAGGAGCGGCCAACUAUGUGCCAGCAGCCGCGGUGAUACAUAGGCUUCAAGCGUUGUCCGGAUUUAUUGGGCGUAAAGAGUUCGUAGGCGGUCGAGUAAGUCGGGUGUGAAAAUUCUGGGCUCAACCCAGAGACGCCACCCGAUACUGCUUAACUUGAGUUCGAUAGGGGAGUGGGGAAUUCCUAGUGUAGCGGUGAAAUGCGCAGAUAUUAGGAGGAACACCGGUGGCGAAGGCGCCACUCUGGAUCGAAACUGACGCUGAGGAACGAAAGCAUGGGUAGCAAACAGGAUUAGAUACCCUGGUAGUCCAUGCCGUAAACGGUGGGCACUAGGUGUGGGAUUCUAUUAACGAAUUCCGCGCCGUCGCUAACGCAUUAAGUGCCCCGCCUGGGGAGUACGGUCGCAAGACUAAAACUCAAAGGAAUUGACGG